Molecule: ribosomal RNA, 498 nt
Filed under: uncultured bacterium
Lineage: Bacteria
Description: bacterial SSU rRNA
Rfam family: Bacterial small subunit ribosomal RNA
Source: RNAcentral
AUGAACGCUGGCGGCAUGCCUAAUACAUGCAAGUCGAACGAGAGGAAGGAAAGCUUGCUUUCCUGAAUCUAGUGGCGAACGGGUGAGUAACACGUAGGUAACCUGCCCAUGUGCCCGGGAUAACUUCUGGGAAACGGAUGCUAAAACCGGAUAGGUAGCAGACAAGCAUUUGACUGCUAUUAAAGUGGGCCUUGGCCAUGAACAUGGAUGGACCUGCGGUGCAUUAGCUGGUUGGUGAGGUAACGGCCCACCAAGGCGACGAUGCAUAGCCGGCCUGAGAGGGCGGACGGCCACAUUGGGACUGAGACACGGCCCAAACUCCUACGGGAGGCAGCAGUAGGGAAUUUUCGUCAAUGGGGGGAACCCUUGAACGAGCAAUGCCGCGUGAGUGAGGAAGGUCUUCGGAUCGUAAAGCUCUGUUGUAAGAGAAAAACGGCACUCAUAGGGAAUGAUGAGUGAGUGAUGGUAUCUUACCAGAAAGUCACGGCUAACUACGUG